RNAcentral lists this ribosomal RNA (493 nucleotides) under uncultured bacterium. Its description in RNAcentral is "partial 16S ribosomal RNA". It matches the Rfam family "Bacterial small subunit ribosomal RNA", at positions 30 to 523 of the family's 1533-position model. The record is from RNAcentral.
AUUGAACGCUGGCGGCAUGCUUUACACAUGCAAGUCGAACGGUAACAGGUUAAGCUGACGAGUGGCGAACGGGUGAGUAAUGCAUCGGAACGUGCCCGAUCGUGGGGGAUAACGCAGCGAAAGCUGCGCUAAUACCGCAUCCGAUCUGAGGAUGAAAGCGGGGGACCGUAAGGCCUCGCGCGAUCGGAGCUGCCGAUGUCAGAUUAGGUAGUUGGUGGGGUAAAGGCUCACCAAGCCAACGAUCUUUAGCUGGUCUGAGAGGACGACCAGCCACACUGGGACUGAGACACGGCCCAGACUCCUACGGGAGGCAGCAGUGGGGAAUUUUGGACAAUGGGCGGAAGCCUGAUCCAGCAAUGCCGCGUGCAGGAAGAAGGCCUUCGGGUUGUAAACUGCUUUUGUACGGAGCGAAAAGGCCCUCACUAAUACAGUGGGCUCAUGACGGUACCGUAAGAAGAAGCACCGGCUAACUACGUGCCAGCAGCCGCGGUAA